AUUGAACGCUGGCGGCAGGCCUAACACAUGCAAGUCGAGCGAGCGGCGGACGGGUGAGUAAUGUAUGGGGACUGCCCGCUAGAGGGGGAUAACUACUGGAAACGGUAGCUACGACCGCAUACUAUAGGAGAACCCAUAGGGGAUUAGCUAGUAGGUGAGGGAAUGGCGCACCUAGGCGACGAUCCCUAGCUGGUCUGAGAGGAUGAUCAGCCACACGGGAACUGAGACACGGCCCAGACUCCUACGGAGGCAGCAGUGGGGAAUAUUGCACAAUGGGCGAAAGCCUGAUGCAGCCAUGCCGCGUGUAUGAAGAAGGCCCUAGGGUUGUAAAGUACUUUCAGUCGGGAGGCGUUACCAACAGAAGAAGCACCGGCUAACUCCGUGCCAGCAGCCGCGGUAAUAC
RNAcentral lists this ribosomal RNA (403 nucleotides) under uncultured bacterium. RNAcentral's name for it is "partial 16S ribosomal RNA". It matches the Rfam family "Bacterial small subunit ribosomal RNA", at positions 29 to 526 of the family's 1533-position model. The record is from RNAcentral.